This 253-nucleotide ribosomal RNA is filed under the name uncultured bacterium. RNAcentral's name for it is "partial 16S ribosomal RNA". It matches the Rfam family "Bacterial small subunit ribosomal RNA", at positions 524 to 776 of the family's 1533-position model. The record is from RNAcentral.
UACAGAGGUCUCGAGCGUUGUUCGGAUUCAUUGGGCGUAAAGGGUGCGUAGGCGGCGGGGUAAGUCUGAUGUGAAAUCCCGGGGCUCAACCCCGGAACUGCAUUGGAUACUGCCCUGCUUGAGUACUGGAGAGGAGACUGGAAUUUACGGUGUAGCAGUGAAAUGCGUAGAUAUCGUAAGGAAGACCAGUGGCGAAGGCGAGUCUCUGGACAGUUACUGACGCUGAGGCACGAAGGCUAGGGGAGCAAACGGG